This 555-nucleotide ribosomal RNA is filed under the name Triticum aestivum (bread wheat). RNAcentral describes it as "partial small subunit ribosomal RNA". Lineage: Eukaryota; Viridiplantae; Streptophyta; Magnoliopsida; Poales; Poaceae. The record is from RNAcentral.
AUGCUUGCCCCCUUUAUUGUAAUCCAGAAUUACCUGGUGAAAAUCAACCACAUUACUUCUGUUCCAGCCUACCAUACCCAAACCGUAACAGAGGCAGGUUUCCUUAAACAUGUCCCUAGCAGUCGGUUUCAUGGGCAGAAUGUCAGGGUGCUUGACAAGGAGGUACAUCAUGUAAUGAGACAGUGUGUUAACUUCUUCAGCCAUGUCCUUGUCGACCAGCUUCCGUUUGACGGCAGGGUGAUUGAGGAAGGUGCUUGUUGCUAUAUGCCAGAUAAGCACACUCUUGUGAAAUCCAUAACUCAGGCUCCAAUCAAGCUGUUUGAUCUGGGCGACGCCGCUGAACCUGCGAGCCCAGUUCCCACUCCGCAUGUCCACCUCUUCAAUUUCAAUUUCAAACAUAUGAGUCUUGUCACCUUUGAGCAAGCCCCAUACGAACUCCUUGACCUUGAGGGUAGGCGAAAGCUUGGCAUGUUUGGUGCAGCGAGCUUUGUCCCAAAAGUCCUUGACUCAAUCAAACGGGCUAUUGUUCCCUUGAGGCCCCUCUUGCUGCUGUGA